CCUCGGUGAAGAUACGAUGACGAGUCGGACCAGGACUCGCGUGCAUCUGAGGAGGCUGCUACAGGGCCACGUUCUGUGGAUCUGUACCAGUUCCUCAGAGCAGCAAGUUCUUUCCAGCUGAAGAUGCUGAGGCAUUUGUCUGAGAGGG
Doryrhamphus excisus (bluestripe pipefish) is the source of this 148-nucleotide small nucleolar RNA. The record is from RefSeq and is a predicted model, not a curated record. NCBI's taxonomy places the organism in Eukaryota, Metazoa, Chordata, Actinopteri, Syngnathiformes, Syngnathidae.